GACGAACGCUGGCGGCGUGCUUAACACAUGCAAGUCGAACGGAAAGGCCCUGCUUUUGUGGGGUGCUCGAGUGGCGAACGGGUGAGUAACACGUGAGUAACCUGCCCUUGACUUUGGGAUAACUUCAGGAAACUGGGGCUAAUACCGGAUAGGAGCUCCUGCUGCAUGGUGGGGGUUGGAAAGUUUCGGCGGUUGGGGAUGGACUCGCGGCUUAUCAGCUUGUUGGUGGGGUAGUGGCUUACCACGGCUUUGACGGGUAGCCGGCCUGAGAGGGUGACCGGCCAUAUUGGGACUGAGGUACUGCACAGCCUCGUACGGGAGGCAGCAGUGGGGAAUAUUGCACAAGGGGCGGAAGCCUGAUGCAGCAACGCCGCGUGCGGGAUGACGGCCUUCGGGUUGUAAACCGCUUUCGCCUGUGACGAAGCGUGAGUGACGGUAAUGGGUAAAGAAGCACCGGCUAACUACGUG
RNAcentral lists this ribosomal RNA (468 nucleotides) under uncultured bacterium. Its description in RNAcentral is "partial 16S ribosomal RNA". It matches the Rfam family "Bacterial small subunit ribosomal RNA", at positions 28 to 507 of the family's 1533-position model. The record is from RNAcentral.